Molecule: long non-coding RNA, 302 nt
Organism: Scophthalmus maximus (turbot)
Lineage: Eukaryota; Metazoa; Chordata; Actinopteri; Pleuronectiformes; Scophthalmidae
Exons: 2
Source: RefSeq, a predicted model, not a curated record
UCAAGACAUUUUAAACCCUGAGGAAGAGAGAUGUGGCUCACAGACCCAGUGGACACAUGCGAGAAUGGCAGCCAUGACUGACCUGCAGGAGGAUGUAGGCGUCUGCUGUGGAUUCAGUGUUUUGGAUUGGAUCCAACCGCCGCCACCAGGCUAACCCGCCCGACCAGCAUUUCGUGCCGGCUUCACGCUCCAGCCUAUUCUCGCUCCACACAGCACCGUAGCCAUCCACCGUGCCUCCACUCAUCUGCCUGCAUAUACUCCACCUUAAAUUACAAUAAAUCUGUUCACUUCUUCCCCCUCAA